Molecule: ribosomal RNA, 366 nt
Filed under: uncultured bacterium
Lineage: Bacteria
Description: bacterial SSU rRNA
Rfam family: Bacterial small subunit ribosomal RNA
Source: RNAcentral
GCAUCCCUGGUGUGUAAACUGCUUUUAUACAGGAAGAAACUACGCUACGUGUAGCGUCUUGACGGUACUGUAAGAAUAAGGACCGGCUAACUCCGUGCCAGCAGCCGCGGUAAUACGGAGGGUCCAAGCGUUAUCCGGAAUCAUUGGGUUUAAAGGGUCCGUAGGCGGCCUUAUAAGUCAGUGGUGAAAUCUCCUAGCUCAACUAGGAAACUGCCAUUGAUACUGUAGGGCUUGAAUUUUUGUGAAGUAACUAGAAUAUGUAGUGUAGCGGUGAGAUGCUUAGAUAUUACAUGGAAUACCAAUUGCGAAGGCAGGUUACUAACAAACGAUUGACGCUGAUGGACGAAAGCGUGGGGAGCGAACAGG